UAGGGAAUAUUGGGCAAUGGAGGAGACUCUGACCCAGCCAUGCCGCGUGCAGGAUGAAGGCUUUCUGAGUCGUAAACUGCUUUUGCCAGGGAAGAACCACCGGUUUGCGAACCGGCCUGACGGUACCUGGUGAAUAAGCACCGGCUAACUCCGUGCCAGCAGCCGCGGUAAUACGGAGGGUGCGAGCGUUGUCCGGAUUUAUUGGGUUUAAAGGGUGCGUAGGCGGCCCGUUAAGUCUGGGGUGAAAGCCCACUGCUCAACAGUGGAACGGCCCUGGAUACUGGCGGGCUUGAAUCCAGUCGAGGGUGGCGGAAUGGAGGCUGUAGCGGUGAAAUGCAUAGAUAGCCUCCAGAACACCGAUUGCGAAGGCAGCUGCCUAGACUGGUAUUGACGCUCAGGCACGAAAGCGUGGGGAGCGAACA
Molecule: ribosomal RNA, 422 nt
Filed under: uncultured Cytophagales bacterium
Lineage: Bacteria; Pseudomonadati; Bacteroidota; Sphingobacteriia; Sphingobacteriales
Description: bacterial SSU rRNA
Rfam family: Bacterial small subunit ribosomal RNA
Source: RNAcentral